GAUGAACGCUGGCGGCGUGCCUAAUACAUGCAAGUCGAGCGAACGGACGAGAAGCUUGCUUCUCUGAUGUUAGCGGCGGACGGGUGAGUAACACGUGGAUAACCUACCUAUAAGACUGGGAUAACUUCGGGAAACCGGAGCUAAUACCGGAUAAUAUUUUGAACCGCAUGGUUCAAAAGUGAAAGACGGUCUUGCUGUCACUUAUAGAUGGAUCCGCGCUGCAUUAGCUAGUUGGUAAGGUAACGGCUUACCAAGGCAACGAUGCAUAGCCGACCUGAGAGGGUGAGCGGACACACUGGAACUGAGACACGGCACAGACUCCUACGGGAGGAAGCAGUAGGGAAUCUUACGCGAUGGGCGAAAGCCUGACGGAGCAACGCCGCGUGAGUGAUGAAGGUCUUCGGAUCGUAAAACUCUGUUAUUAGGGAAGAACAUAUGUGUAAGUAACUGUGCACAUAUUGACGGUACCUAAUCAGAAAGCCACGGCUAACUACGUG
This 497-nucleotide ribosomal RNA is filed under the name uncultured bacterium. RNAcentral describes it as "partial 16S ribosomal RNA". It matches the Rfam family "Bacterial small subunit ribosomal RNA", at positions 28 to 507 of the family's 1533-position model. The record is from RNAcentral.